Molecule: long non-coding RNA, 4502 nt
Organism: Gasterosteus aculeatus aculeatus (three-spined stickleback)
Lineage: Eukaryota; Metazoa; Chordata; Actinopteri; Perciformes; Gasterosteidae
Source: Ensembl
AGUGGAUGAAGUUAUAGUGAAACUAGAUUCUGAUUCUUACCUUUAAUCCUCCCAGGUGUUGAACUGGGAUGUUCCUGCAGUACUGUAAUGGGAGUGUUGGGGAGGGUGAGUAAGUAACACUGUCAGAACAGAAAGUCUCCUCAAGCUAUGAAGAGCUUGACGGGUUUAAUAUUGGUCCUGUAGUUUGUGGGGAUCAUGUUUCUAUGCGCAGCUGUAAAAUGGCAGGUGGUGUGAUCAUCUUCAAGGUGUGUGUGUGUGCUCAUAUACACAUGGGUGUUACACAAGCCAAUAAUUGCACUUUAAGGAGGAGGCUGAGUGGAAUUAUGCACAUGUGGAUACGGUAUGGCAGUACAAAUGCACACACAUACACACUUUACUUAAACAGCAUCAUAAGUUGGCAGUGGACUCCUUUUCCACCUCGGGUCAGGCUUAGUUCACGCACAAAGACUAAGUGAUGGUGUGUGUGUGUGUGGGUGCGUGUGUGGUAACCCUGCUCCAGUUUUAUUUUUAAAGUAAGCGUAGACAAAGGCCUCUAGUCAGCUCUGAGAACAGGACCUUGGGAACAUGACCAGUGGCUGUUGCGUCACAUAGUGUUUGUGUGUCAGUGUGUGUGUGUGUGUUUCAUUAUUUGUGUGUGGGAGAGACAGACUGAGAGUGUCCGACUUUUGUCUUGUAAAAAAGUCACUGAAAAGGAAAGAACAAAAAAAAAUCUUGAAAAUCUUUGCCAGAUGUGCAAGCACAUACGCUCACACUGUGCCCUUAAAAGCUGGCUCAGCGGCCUUCCGAAUGUCAGGGGACGUCACUGAGUGAUGUCAUAGGAAGGACUUUAUAUGCGAUAGGAGGAAUUCUUCUAGCCAUACGCACACACACACACACACACACACACACACACACACACACACACACACACACAGGACCAGUGGACACAAUGACAACACCAUACCCAGAAAACAGGUUUAUGGUAAAGAAAAGAAAAAAGGGUAACAUGGAUGAGCAAAAAUAAUAAAGGGUUGAGAAGAAAGUAAAAGAAUGGAGAGGAGGUUAAUGGAGAGGAGAUGAGAGGAAAGGAGAAAGAAAUACAGUUGAAUGAGCAGGAAUAAGAGGCACAAAGUUAGAGAAGAGAUAACAGGACAGGAGGAAAGAGGAUUACACAAGAGAAAGAAGAGAUGAGAUGAUUUGAUAGAAGCUGCGAGGAAAGAAGAUUGAAUGGAAAGAAUGAGCAGAGGAAACUAGGAGUGGAAAUAAAGAGGAGAGGAGUCAAAAGGGAGGACAGGGGAGAAACUGGAGGAAAGGAAUGGAGAGGAGGAGAAAGAGAUGAUGAGGAGCCAAUGGAAGUAACGAGAGAGAAGAAGAAGCGGGAAUGGAAAGGAGGAGGAGGAGGAGGAGGAGGAAGGAGCAGGAGCAGUGGAGAGGUUAGGCAGGGAGAUGGAAGGUAGGAGAGAAGAUGAAAGGAUGAGGAGGGAAAGAAGUGAGUGGAGGAUCACCUCCCUCUCAUUCCUCUUGUCCUUUGGAAUCUUCCAAAAUCUGCAGACACCGGAGGACUCAGGGAAUCCUGGCCGCAGUGAUAUUACACACACACAAACACACACGCACACACACUUUCAGCUUAAUCUGUCCAAUUACACUGCUGCCAGCCCCCGUCUUUCAUUUCAUUCUUUCUUCCUGUGUUUUAAAGUAUUUUUUUUCCAGCGCUCAUGACGCACUCUGGCAUAAUGAAACAGUUAAGAGGAGUCCGGUACAGAGGCUGGAGCUGAGAACAAGACGGGGUGGUGGUGGUGAUGGUGGUGGUGGGUGUGUAAAGUGACACCACACCAGGGCACUAUAUUUACAACGUGCCUCUUUAACACAACGGCUAUUUAUAGCGGCCAGAUCUCUUCUCAGCUUCUGCCGCACGCUGUUGCACCGUCACAAACACAGGCAUCAGAUGGCACUGCUGGAUUUACGCUGCGCUGCUUCAGCCAAAGGGGACACGCCUUAUCCUCUAGCAUGUUCCUGCACAAACCCAACCUCACCACGCUCCAGCAGCCCCACAACCCAUUCACACACGCACCUUCUGGACAUUCGCUCCCUGCCACUGUGAAUGUUUUCACACCUUUCUUUCCUCAUUUCUUAUAGAUUUCUGUUCUCAAUAUUAAAGAAAGAAAAAAGGGACUUUUUUUUGGAGGGAUUUAAAUGUGGUUAAUUACACACAUGUGCAGCAACAUGCACAGCUGAGCAGGAAGAAAGGAAGCAUUUGGAUCCUUUACUGCUCUGAACUUAACAAUACUGCGAUUUAAUAAAAUGCCACUCAAUAAUGUCUAUUAUGUGUAUGAACACAAAGAUACUUAAAGCAGGGGCCCUGGGACAUUUUGAGGGAACAUUUUCCGACACCCUAACAAUCAUAUCAUUGAUUAUUAUUAUUAUUGAUUAUUAUUGCAUCAAGUAUUAUUUAUUAGAUAGCAGUGACUCCCACUUUAUAACAUGACACACAUAUUGCACGAAGACACACACAUCCAUCCAUCCAUCUGCAAACCGCUCAUCCUGCACACAGGGUUGCGGGGGGGCUGGAGUCUAUCCCAGCCACACGCACACAUAAACAUUAUAAAUACGGUGUCUGAGGUGAGCAUCCAGUGAAAUCAAAUAUGAAAAAGGGCAGCUGAGUAAAUGGGACAAUAUUUCCUUUUAAAUCAUAGAGGUGUAGAAAUAAUAGGAGUUAUCCCUGUUUCUGUCAUGGCUUGACUCGAGUUGUACGCACACAAAUAAACAAGCACAGCUGACUCUCAGGUUUCUGGUACAUGGAGGAAUUUAUUAACAGGAUCAUGACUGCCCCCACAGGACUGAGUCACUGUGUCUCCGUUUCUGUCACUUAGUGCACAAACACACAUACACUCUGAAGCAAAAAACCCAAUUACCCAACAUUUUAUCCUGUUUGUUCAUAUAAGUAAUGUAGAUUAAAAAAGACAAUCUAUAAUAACUUCCCACUAUGAAAUCCAGUGUUCUGAUUGGUUGAGAGUGAGUCACGAGGUGUGCAUUAUUCAUGAGCGAUGUGAAUGACUGAGAGAUCCAAUGCUGUUUCUCUAGACUACUGAAAUGCGAUACACAACGUUUGGUGGCUACAACUAUUUUGUGCUGGAAGGCAUCUAUUUACUUAGUAUUUAUAAUUUCGCUGGUAACCGUAUUAUAAAAGCAAUAAGGUUGACUUGAGGCAGGACUUAAUCUUCAAUAAUAUAACAGUUUGAGGGUUGCACGUCUGGCCUAACAACACCCCUGAACUGUUACAUUAUUGGACGAUAAAGCACAGCAUCUCGUACCUUAAUGCUUAAUUACUGUAAACACUAAAGAAAUGACUUGGCCUUGAGUGCAGGACGAAUCGAAAGUGAUUUUUAGUGUGACCUGUUCCUUUCCCUAUGGGACAUGACAGCGGACUGUGUUGACAAUGUCAGGCCUUUAAACCAAAAUACAGGUAUGAGCUGUGUUUGUAGCUGCAUGAGUGGGAGAGCUGUCGCCGUAUGCGGCUCUGAACCCUGAACUGGUUUGUGAACUGUUUGUUGGGAUUGUAGUGGUUAACCAGGUGCACGUAGACGCAGCAGAGGUGCUUACAGGUAUCCGAGUGUGCAGGGGGGGUGUCGUCCGUGGCUGUGAGUGUGUUUACUCAACAGGGUGUUAACGUCAGUCAAGGAAGUCGUGUUUAUCCUCACACGUGUCAAGAGAGAAGCAUGCGAGUGUGUGUGCGCCACUUUAUUUUGCCAUCAUCUCUUCGCUGUCCCUAAACACACACAAAUACACACACAUACGGAGGCUAACGUGUCCUGAUUCAGCCUUUGUUGAGCCAGUGUUAGUUAGUUUACCCACCAGCUGGCCAAUGCAACAACACAACAACCCAAUGGUAGUUUUCCAUGUGCGUGUUGCACGGCAGAGACAGUCUCUGAGAAACGUGGGAUUUUUGUUGUUUUAUCUAUGGUGGGCGGUGUGAGAGUAUCCCCACUGCUUCCUGCGCGCACACACACACAUCCCCAUGAUGAUCUUAGUGAUUACGCACAACAAUGUGGCACAUAGACAGAGAACAGCAUCACAAUGCAUCCACUAAUAACACACUGUAGUCAGGGUCGUCCCCUAUGUCUGUCUCUCCGGGUCCUUUGGGAGGGUGUAGGUUUGUGGCCACUUUCCCAGCUUUCCCUCGGGGGGGGUCUGUUCCAGCUGCUGCCGCUCCACGCGGUCCCAAACCUCAACCCGCCUUCACUGAGCGCAGCCUGUGCUCUGACAUCACUGCGCAGGCGUCCACGCACGGCCAGCGCGGACCGGAACCCUGCAGAGACGUCAAAGACGUGGCGACUGACCCGCGGACACGUUGGCGUCUCCCUCCGUGGAAGCUGUGGUUCUCGGGGCCUUUGAGUUGUAGCUAUUCAUGAGUUGCUAUGAAACAAGGGAUGUGUUUGAUGGAAAAAAGCAGGAUCUUAGUAAAUGGCAAAUGGAAGUAACACUGCCAGCAUUCCAGUAUAAAACAUUAGAAAGUGGUGUAAACA